RNAcentral lists this ribosomal RNA (253 nucleotides) under uncultured bacterium. Its description in RNAcentral is "partial 16S ribosomal RNA". It matches the Rfam family "Bacterial small subunit ribosomal RNA", at positions 524 to 776 of the family's 1533-position model. The record is from RNAcentral.
UACGUAGGGUGCGAGCGUUGUCCGGAAUUAUUGGGCGUAAAGAGCUCGUAGGCGGCUUGUCGCGUCGGCUGUGAAAGUCCGGGGCUCAACUCCGGAUCUGCGGUGGGUACGGGCAGACUAGAGUGAUGUAGGGGAGACUGGAAUUCCUGGUGUAGCGGUGAAAUGCGCAGAUAUCAGGAGGAACACCGAUGGCGAAGGCAGGUCUCUGGGCAUUAACUGACGCUGAGGAGCGAAAGCAUGGGGAGCGAACAGG